Notolabrus celidotus (New Zealand spotty) is the source of this 2274-nucleotide long non-coding RNA. RefSeq lists it as uncharacterized. NCBI's taxonomy places the organism in Eukaryota, Metazoa, Chordata, Actinopteri, Labriformes, Labridae. The transcript has 3 exons. The record is from RefSeq and is a predicted model, not a curated record.
UUGACCCAUGUGGCUUGUUACAGAAAGCAAAAGAGACUCUAUUAUCUCUGCAAGGACAAAACUAAGUUCUUAGUCAUUUUGCAAUGUUGAUAAAUUAUGUUAAACAUCAGGAAGAAAACCUGAAAUAAAACUGUUGUGUUUGCUGCUGAAGAAUCUCAGGAUAGUGUGAGAGAAAGAUCUGGAGCUUUUGAGAGAGGCCCUCAGGUCCACCUAGAGCAUAGAUCAAGUAAAGGUUAAUGUUUGAGAAAGCGUGAAAGAAUACUUACGUUUUUUCUUUUUUUCUGUUUACAUUAAAGCUCAGGGAGUAACUUCGAAUCAAGUGGAAGCAUUAUUCUGGAUGCCAUCUGCCUCAAAGAAUCAAACAAGAAGAAGACGGCGUGGCCUGUUCGUCAUUCAGAUGAGGAUCUUCUUUUCUACCUGGAUCUCUGUUGUCUCCUUUAGCACAAAUGACACAUUCUGGCCGACUAGUGUCCCGUCCUUCAAUAAAACCAAAAUCCAGAUAUCUUCUCUGGAUGGACGGUUGGCAGAAACAUCAGAGGCAGAAAAUAGAGUGAGUAAAGGACCAGAGAGUUAAGAGUAGGAAGCAGAUGGAUGGAACCAAAGAAUGAGAAAAAAAAGCCCUGAAAUGAGAGCCAAGUGAUGAGUUAGGGGCAGACAGAGAUGGAGUGAGGACAGAAAAUGAAGAAAUACAGAGUUGAUGAGUGAGGAAAUGAUGAAUGGGCUGAAAGGGAGACAGAUGGGCCCGGCUCCAUCAGUGAGCUGUGUUGCUGAGAAGUGGAAAUGAAGGAGAGCUUACCAAGUCAAAGAUACUGAUGAUGACGAUGACACACUCACAGACACACACACAUAACAAAGUGCCCAGAGGCUGGAGUCAUCCUCUUAAACACAUUUCAUUAAAAUCAAAGCAAGUAUAAUGAUGUAAAGAUUAGCAGUAAAAGCCUUUGGCUCAUUUUACGAGGACACAAACAAGUGAGUGAUUUAAUAGAACUAACACUUUCAACUGAUGUGUGUCUGCAGAGGGUUUCUACUCUACGUGUGUUUGCACCAACUCAGUACAGGGGGGGACCAGGGGUUACUGUAACACUUUUUACUCUGGGAAUUCUUCAUCAUGGACAGUAUCAUUCCCACAUUUAAGAAACGCUUCUGUUCUUAAGUGAAAGUGUAUUUCCCUGUCAGACCUGUUCUUGAGUCUCUACAGGACUUUUGUUGCUGCUGUCCAAAAGGCCUGCCUCUGUUGACUUUUCACUGUGCUGGUAUGAAACCAUUGAUAUUCUCUAGGACCUUGAUUUCCAAUGAUAAGCAAAUUUACUUCAAUCUGAACAGUCCAUUUCUUGUUCUCUUGGCCCAGGUCAGACGCUUCUGACAUUGUUUCUUGUUCGGGAGUGGUUUGGUAUUCGGACUUCAGCGGUUGUUCUCUUUCCUGUACACGUCUGUGUGUGAUGGCUCUUGAUGCACCCACAUCAGCCUCUGUCCAGUCCUUGUAAAUCUCUCCUGAGGUCUUGAACAGACUUUUAUUAACAACCUCCUCAAGGCUGCGGUCAUCCUUGCUGCUUGUUCAUCCUUUCCUAUCAUACUUUUCCCUUCCAGUCACAUUUCCAUUAAUAUGUUGUUUCAGCAAUGAGUUUCUGUAACUUACCCUCCUUGUGAGGGGUGAUGAUUAUCAUCUUCUGGACUGUUAUUGUCGUUCUGUGUGUACUAGACUAGACUGAGAGAUAUAUGAUACUUAUACUGUUUGAAUUUCAUUUAUUCACCUUUGUUGUAUCCAUUGUAUUAGCCCUGUUUUUAUCUGGUUCCUUUUAGUUCUCUGUUCUGCAUGAGCUGUUUUUAUAUAGGUUUUUACAUAGUUUUAUAGGUGCUAUUUAAUGAUAUCCUCAUUUAUUUACUUGGUCUCCUUGCUUCAGUUGUAUACUGGAUCGGGUGCGAUACUUAAUGUGUAAUACUUAAUUCUUCAAAAGGGUCAGGUGCAAUACUGAUUAAAGUGCAAUAUAAGCUAGUCACCGACAUUGACUCGGUCUGGAGGGGAAAAGUACUCGUGUGACAGUGUGGACUGGAAAGUAAUUUUUUGUGUCUUCGUUUGAUCUAGUCUAUUGUCAAACUGUGCUUCACCAUGUCUGAGUAAACAGUCUGAUGGAUGUAUGAACUGCAGCCACAGGUGGUACCAUUGUCCAAGACACAUUUCCCAAAGGGCACAAUAAAAUUUAUCCAAAUCCUUAAAAUCAAAAAGAAUUAUUCUAAUAUUUGAAGACAUGCUUUUUAAAAUAUUUUUGAGAUGUA